RNAcentral lists this long non-coding RNA (727 nucleotides) under Dromaius novaehollandiae (emu). RNAcentral's name for it is "lncRNA (ENSDNVG00000002335.1)". Lineage: Eukaryota; Metazoa; Chordata; Aves; Casuariiformes; Dromaiidae. The record is from RNAcentral.
UUGAAUCCAUCAGCAUGUCUCAAGCCUCACCCAUGGAAACCUUUUUGUAAGCUAGAGAAGUUCUGUCUCCAUAGUCAAUUUACAGGGUAGUGCAUAGGCAUUUAGUAGGAAGUGUUCUUUAUCCCUCUGAUUUGUUUUACCAUCUAUGCAAUACUGCAGUCACCAGAUGUAGAAGUAGCUUGUUGCAUUUAAAUGAGGAAAACGAGGGUUCUAGGAACAGUAAUCUGCUGCUAUGUCUCCAAAUUUCAAAGAUCUUCCAUUCUGCAAACAAGUUUAAAGCUUCCCAUUCUUCCUUGAAUCUGAUCGAAGAUCUGCAAGAUCAGCCACCAGGAAUGACAGAAAUUGGUGAUGACGGUUUCUUUUUAAGAAGAGGUGGUAUCAACGUCAGAGGACAAGCCACAGUGCAAAACUACCCGUGGGAAAUUAUGCCUUCUUGUUGCUGUUCGUCUGAGCACAGUUGCAGAACUGGCAGUCAGCUGCACUUGGCAUAUGGAGUCCCAAGGAGAAUGAUGUUGAACUGUCAGCUUACGAUUUGGAGGCGCAAAACCAGUGCCACUGAAUGAAUUUUCUGCAAGACUUCUGAGCUUUGUCAGAUCUCUUCUGACCUUACCAAGCUAUGUGUCAACGUAUUAAAUAUUGACUCAAAUUUUUCUAAGGCGUGAGUAUAACUUUAAAAACACACACAUGGCAGAAUAAGAUAAUAUUCCUUUCUCAUGUCUCAUUCGCU